ACGCUCGACACCUACGGGAGACAGCAGUUGGGAAUAUUGGACAAUGGAGGAAACUCUGAUCCAGUGACGCCGCGUGAAGGAAGAAGGUCUUCGGAUUGUAAACUUAUUUUGUCAGGGAAGAAAAAAUGACUGUACCUGAAGAAAAAGCACCGGCUAACUACGUGACAGCAGCCGCGGUAAUCUGAGCGGGCUGGCAAGGC
This 200-nucleotide ribosomal RNA is filed under the name uncultured bacterium. RNAcentral's name for it is "partial 16S ribosomal RNA". It matches the Rfam family "Bacterial small subunit ribosomal RNA", at positions 328 to 539 of the family's 1533-position model. The record is from RNAcentral.